UACAGAGGUCCCAAGCGUUGUUCGGAUUUACUGGGCGUAAAGGGCGCGCAGGCGGUUCUGUUUGUCGAGUGUGAAAGCCCCGGGCUCAACCUGGGAACUGCGCUCGAAACGGCGGAACUAGAGUUCGGGAGAGGAGAGUGGAAUUCCCAGUGUAGAGGUGAAAUUCGUAGAUAUUGGGAAGAACACCGGUGGCGAAGGCGGCUCUCUGGACCGAUACUGACGCUGAGGCGCGAAAGCGUGGGGAGCAAACAGG
RNAcentral lists this ribosomal RNA (253 nucleotides) under uncultured bacterium. Its description in RNAcentral is "partial 16S ribosomal RNA". It matches the Rfam family "Bacterial small subunit ribosomal RNA", at positions 524 to 776 of the family's 1533-position model. The record is from RNAcentral.